RNAcentral lists this ribosomal RNA (393 nucleotides) under uncultured Geobacteraceae bacterium. RNAcentral describes it as "bacterial SSU rRNA". It matches the Rfam family "Bacterial small subunit ribosomal RNA", at positions 9 to 387 of the family's 1533-position model. Lineage: Bacteria; Pseudomonadati; Thermodesulfobacteriota; Desulfuromonadia; Geobacterales; Geobacteraceae. The record is from RNAcentral.
GAGUUUGAUCCUGGCUCAGAACGAACGCUGGCGGCGUGCUUAACACAUGCAAGUCGAACGUGAUCCAGAGCUUGCUCCGGUGAAAGUGGCGCACGGGUGAGUAACGCGUGGAUAACCUGCCCUGGUAUCUGGGAUAACAUCUCGAAAGGGGUGCUAAUACCGGAUAAGCCUACGGGAUCUUCGGAUUCUGCAGGAAAAGGAGGCCUCUAUUUAUAAGCUUCCGUAUCAUGAUGGGUCCGCGUACCAUUAGCUAGUUGGUGGGGUAAUGGCCUACCAAGGCGACGAUGGUUAGCUGGUCUGAGAGGAUGAUCAGCCACACUGGAACUGAGACACGGUCCAGACUCCUACGGGAGGCAGCAGUGGGGAAUUUUGCGCAAUGGGGGAAACCCUGAC